This 500-nucleotide ribosomal RNA is filed under the name uncultured bacterium. Its description in RNAcentral is "partial 16S ribosomal RNA". The stretch from base 297 to 500 matches the Rfam family "Bacterial large subunit ribosomal RNA", at positions 1 to 208 of the family's 2925-position model. The record is from RNAcentral.
GUCGUCGGUUCGAUCCCGACCAGCUCCACCAGGUCUCAGGCAGGUGAUCAUCGAGGUGAAUGUGAGGCGUCAGGCGUGAGGUACCGCGAGGUAGUUCAGUCCUGACUCUUUACGAGUCGUGUUCUUUAACAAAGUGGAAGAAGUGUAGUACGUACCGAGCCGGUGCGUACUGCAAGUUGUGUGAUUGCAUGGAUCCGGCGCUGAGCUUGUCAGCGUAGCGUCGGAUCGCACAAACGAGUUCGUUCCUGUACGCGGGCCUUCGCGGUGGCAACAUCGAGGAGGGUCCAAGGUUAUAGGAUCAAGCGACUAAGUGCAUGUGGUGGAUGCCUUGGCGAUCACAGGCGAUGAAGGACGUGUAAGCCUGCGAAAAGCGUGGGGGAGCUGGCAAUAGAGCUUUGAUCCCACGAUGUCCGAAUGGGGAAACCCACCCCGCAAGGGGUAUCCCAGACUGAAUCCAUAGGUCUGAGGAGGCGAACCGAGCGAACUUAAACAUCUCAGUA